This 468-nucleotide ribosomal RNA is filed under the name uncultured bacterium. RNAcentral's name for it is "partial 16S ribosomal RNA". It matches the Rfam family "Bacterial small subunit ribosomal RNA", at positions 28 to 507 of the family's 1533-position model. The record is from RNAcentral.
GAUGAACGCUGGCGGCGUGCUUAACACAUGCAAGUCGAACGGAAAGGCCAGUGCUUGCACUGGUACUCGAGUGGCGAACGGGUGAGUAACACGUGGGUGAUCUGCCCUGUACUUCGGGAUAAGCUUGGGAAACUGGGUCUAAUACCGGAUAGGACAACUUUUUGGAUAUUGUUGUGGAAAGCUUUUGCGGUAUGGGAUGAGCUCGCGGCCUAUCAGCUUGUUGGUGGGGUAAUGGCCUACCAAGGCGUCGACGGGUAGCCGGCCUGAGGGGGUGUACGGCCACAUUGGGACUGAGAUACGGCCCAGACUCCUACGGGAGGCAGCAGUGGGGAAUAUUGCACAAUGGGCGCAAGCCUGAUGCAGCGACGCCGCGUGGGGGAUGAAGGCCUUCGGGUUGUAAACUCCUUUCGCUAGGGACGAAGCUUUUUUGUGACGGUACCUGGAGAAGAAGCACCGGCUAACUACGUG